Long non-coding RNA from Clarias gariepinus (North African catfish), 595 nucleotides. RefSeq lists it as uncharacterized. Lineage: Eukaryota; Metazoa; Chordata; Actinopteri; Siluriformes; Clariidae. The record is from RefSeq and is a predicted model, not a curated record. The transcript is spliced from 3 exons.
AAUGAUAUACAGGAUCAAACUCCAGAGUUCAGCACUGGCCACAGAGGAUUGUGAGGAUUGUGGCUUUGGCUGGAGGCAUCAUUAGUCUUGACAAGUCCCUGGAAAAAUGAGAGUUCUAGUUGUGCCGGCUGCCUACUGGUUAAUUCAUAAACAGAGAAACUCAUCCGGCAUACGGGAAGUGAAGAAGGGCGCUAGAGAAUGGCAGGAGGUAGAGUCAAAGCCAAAAAGAAAAAAAGCAGCACUAAGGGAACCACACUGCCCUUCAACUCUUCAAUGAUGCGUUUGAGAGCUUCUGUAUCACAUCUGCUAGAGAUGACCUUGUGUACACCACAUGUUCUCACACAGCCUCAGAAUGGAGUGAAGGAGUUUACCUGUAGCCCUGGACUUGUCUGGAUAACACCAGCUCAUAUCUCCAAUUGUUAUUGUUAUUUUUUUUCUUUAUUCUGAGUGAGCAAAUAAGACUGCUAGCUGAAAGUGCUAGCUUUAAUGAAUGUGUACAGUGUAAACAUUGGAUAGCAGUGAGUAGAAUAAACCUACGAGGCCCUGAAGGUUUAAACUGGAUGUGCCUGAACAAAAGCUUGGAAAAGUAGUUUAA